GGAUCGAAAGGAUUUCGACGGGGGAAACGAGGCUUAAUAAGCGAGCAGAGGCGAGGCACCUCUUUAAAAGCUUCAACUUAAAUAAUAACUGACAAUAAUAGAACAGUUUUAGCAGCUGCCUAAUCGCAGCCGCCGUCAUUCCCGGAAGUACUGCGGUCCGGUGCGUGGCGUCAUUGAGCAGUGAACGUGCACGGGCACACCGCCUUGUAACCCGUCACGAAUAACAUGGCUUUUUCAAUCCGGAGGGUGUUGUUUCCCGCCGGUGCGCAGAGAACAAACAAACAACUACGCUCGUAGAAAGUUAUGAGGACUUUCUUUCGGACAGGGGUUCGACUCCCCUCGAUUCCACCA
This 351-nucleotide transfer-messenger RNA is filed under the name human gut metagenome. It matches the Rfam family "transfer-messenger RNA". Rfam says of the family: Bacterial tmRNA, also known as 10Sa RNA or SsrA, is named for its dual tRNA and mRNA-like properties. The record is from RNAcentral.